Molecule: ribosomal RNA, 253 nt
Filed under: uncultured bacterium
Lineage: Bacteria
Also listed under: 1 other name
Description: partial 16S ribosomal RNA
Rfam family: Bacterial small subunit ribosomal RNA
Source: RNAcentral
UACGUGAGGGGCGAACGUUGUUCGGUGUCACUGGGCUUAAAGGGCGCGUAGGUGGCUAUGCAAGUAAGGUGUGAAAGCCCUCGGCUUACCCGGGGAAUUGCGCCUUAUACUGCGUGGCUUGAGGAUUUCAGGGGAAGGGGGAACUCCAGGUGUAGCGGUGAAAUGCGCAGAUAUCUGGGGGAAGGCCGGCGGCGAAGGCGCCCUUCUGGGAAAUACCUGACACUGAGGCGCGAAAGCGUGGGGAGCAAACAGG